AGAUACGAAAUAACUGGUAACAAACACCAGCCAGGCUUAGUCCUUAAGGUGUGUGAUCCAUAUCAAAGUUCAAAAGAAGAAAUAGACCAUGGUCAACCUGUGAGCUCCAAAGUGAACCAUUCAGCCAAGCACAGGAGAAAUGGAGGCCAGGACCAGUCAGGUAUUGCUGCCCAGGAAGCCUCUGACCUGAGGUAGACCUUACCAGCAAAGGUCAAAGAGCAGGUACCUCAGGCCAUCUUUGCCUCCCCAUACCAGGAAGCCUUCCAGAAGAGGUUCCAUCUGCUCAGUCAUUGUUUUCCCCUAUGGUUUCUUGGUAAUAAAUGUUGGGUUUUUUUUCCUGAAA
This 343-nucleotide long non-coding RNA is filed under the name Rattus norvegicus (Norway rat). RNAcentral describes it as "long non-coding RNA NONRATT029885". Lineage: Eukaryota; Metazoa; Chordata; Mammalia; Rodentia; Muridae. The record is from RNAcentral.